AGAAUGCAGCGGCCGCCAGCCUGGAGCGCGGGCCCUGGGGCCGCAACCCGCGCCGGGCGAGGUGGCAGCACACCCUGGGCCCCCCACUCCCCGCCGCAAGUCCUGAGGAUGGCCAGCAGAGAAACAAGAAAAUGGACUCCCUGGCUGCUGGAGAGUUGAAUGCCAGCCACCAGCCAUGGGUGCCAGAGUUUGUAGCCUAUUGGAGGAAAACACACCAAGGUAAGACAACAAUAAGACCACAUCUUGUUUGGGACUGCCCAACGUAGCCUUGGAAACUGUCCAAGGAAGACCAGGGUGCUAAGUGUUGGCAGCUGGAUAAAGGGAAGGCCCAAGAGACUUUGCGUUGACUUCCUGGAUAGAGUGAGAGUCCUGGGGACAGUGAGGCAGCUCAGUAUAGUCAGUGAUGGCUGUGAGGUCUUUAGACUCAGGAAGACAGUGUUGCACUUGGGAAAAUGUAGCAGCCUCCCCCAAGCCAGUUGGUUGUGGGCCCACAGCAUGGCCCUCUUGCCCUCACUUCCCUA
Molecule: long non-coding RNA, 521 nt
Filed under: Homo sapiens (human)
Lineage: Eukaryota; Metazoa; Chordata; Mammalia; Primates; Hominidae
Description: non-protein coding lnc-SLC22A5-6:3
Source: RNAcentral